GUACUUACCUGGACUGGAUCAAUGGGUGAUCAAUCAGGCCCAUGGCGUGGGUCGGUGACCCCCAUUGCACUUAGGAGGGGUAAUGUCCUAAGGUCUCCCCAUUGAGGGAGAGCAUACGUCGUAAUUUGUUGCAGUGGGGCCUGCGUUUGCGCGGCCCCACU
Molecule: small nuclear RNA, 161 nt
Organism: Tripterygium wilfordii
Lineage: Eukaryota; Viridiplantae; Streptophyta; Magnoliopsida; Celastrales; Celastraceae
Product: U1 spliceosomal RNA
Exons: 1
Source: RefSeq, a predicted model, not a curated record